RNAcentral lists this ribosomal RNA (254 nucleotides) under uncultured bacterium. Its description in RNAcentral is "partial 16S ribosomal RNA". It matches the Rfam family "Bacterial small subunit ribosomal RNA", at positions 524 to 776 of the family's 1533-position model. The record is from RNAcentral.
AACGUAGGAGGCGAGCGUUAUCCGGAUUCACUGGGCGUAAAGCGCACGUAGGCGGUCGGGUAAGUCGGAUGUUAAAGCCCCUGGCUCAACUAGGGGAGGUCAUUCGAUACUGCUCGGCUUGAGGAUGAGAGAGGAAAGUGGAAUUCCCGGUGUAGCGGUGGAAUGCGUAGAGAUCGGGAGGAACACCAGUGGCGAAAGCGGCUUUCUGGCUCAUUCCUGACGCUGAGUGUGCGAAAGCGUGGGUAGCAAACGGG